AUGACAUCAUCAGAACAUUAUCAGAACAUCAUCAUACCCCAUCAGAACACCAUCAUACCCCAGUAUCAGAACAUCAUCAGAACCCAUCAUCAGAACAUCAUCAUACCCCAUCAUCAUACCCCAGUAUCAGAACAUCAUCAGAACAUCAUCAGAACAUCAUCAUACCCCAGUGUCAGAACAUCAUCAGAACAUCAUCAUAACAUCAUCAGAACAUCAUCAUACCCCAUCAUCAGAACAUCAUCAUACCCCAUCAUCAGAACAUCAUCAUACCCCAUCAUCAUACACCAUCAUCAGAACAUCAUCAUACCCCAUCAUCAUACUCCAUCAUCAUAUCCCAUCAUCAUACCCCAUCAUCAGAACAUCAUCAUACCCCAUCAUCAGAACACCAUCAUACCCCAUCAUCAGAACAUCAUCAGAACAUCAUACCCCAUCAUCAGAACAUCAUACCCCAUCAUCAGAAUAUUACCAUACCCCAUCAUCAUAACAUCAUCAUACCCCAUCAUCAGAACAUCAUCAUACCCCAUCAUCAGAACAUCAUCAGAACCCAUCAUCAGACCAUCAUCAUACCCAUCAUCAGAACAUCAUCAGAACAUCAUCAUACCCCAUCAUCAGAACAUCAUCAGAACUUCAUCAUACCCCAUCAUCAGAACAUCAUCAGAACCCAUCAUCAGAACAUCAUCAUACCCCAUCGACAGAACAUCAUCAGAACAUCAUCAUACCCCAUCAUCAUACCCCAUCAUCAGAACAUCAUCAUACCCCAUCAUCAGAACAUCAUCAUACCCCAUCAUCAGAACAUCAUCAUACCCCAUCAUCAUAACAUCAUCAGAACAUCAUCAUACCCCAUCAUCAGAACACCAUCAGAACAUCAUCAUACCCCAUCAUCAGAACAUCAUCAUACCCCAUCAUCAGAACAUCAUCAUACCCCAUCAUCAGAACAUCAUCAGAACAUCAUCAUACCCCAUCAUCAGAACAUCAUCAUACCCCAUCAUCAUACCCCAUCAUCAGAACAUCAUCAUACCCCAUCAUCAGAACAUCAUCAUACCCCAUCAUCAGAACAUCAUCAUACCCCAUCAUCAGAACAUCAUCAUACCCCAUCAUCAGAACAUCAUCAUACCCCAUCAUCAUACCCCAUCAUCAGAACAUCAUCAUACCCCAUCAUCAGAACAUCAUCAUACCCCAUCAUCAGAACAUCAUCAUACCCCAUCAUCAUACACCAUCAUCAGAACAUCAUCAUACCCCAUCAUCAUACUCCAUCAUCAGAACAUCAUCAUGCCCCAUCAUCAGAACAUCAUCAUGCCCCAUCAUCAGAACAUCAUCAUGCCCCAUCAUCAGAACAUUGGCCUGCACACUGGGUUGUUAAUUUGA
RNAcentral lists this long non-coding RNA (1365 nucleotides) under Salmo trutta (river trout). Its description in RNAcentral is "lncRNA (ENSSTUG00000015156.1)". The record is from RNAcentral. Lineage: Eukaryota; Metazoa; Chordata; Actinopteri; Salmoniformes; Salmonidae.